GACGAACCGUGCAAACGUUGUUCGGAAUCACUGGGCUUAAAGGGCGCGUAGGCGGGUGGACAAGUCUGAGGUGAAACCCUUCAGCUCAACUGGAGAACGGCCUUGGAUACUGUCCAUCUCGAGGGAGGUAGGGGCAUGUGGAACUUCCGGUGGAGCGGUGAAAUGUGUUGAUAUCGGAAGGAACUCCGGUGGCGAAAGCGACGUGCUGGACCUCUACUGACGCUGAGGCGCGAAAGCCAGGGGAGCAAACGGG
Molecule: ribosomal RNA, 253 nt
Filed under: uncultured bacterium
Lineage: Bacteria
Description: partial 16S ribosomal RNA
Rfam family: Bacterial small subunit ribosomal RNA
Source: RNAcentral